RNAcentral lists this ribosomal RNA (253 nucleotides) under uncultured bacterium. RNAcentral's name for it is "partial 16S ribosomal RNA". It matches the Rfam family "Bacterial small subunit ribosomal RNA", at positions 524 to 776 of the family's 1533-position model. The record is from RNAcentral.
UACGUAGGGCGCAAGCGUUAUCCGGAAUUAUUGGGCGUAAAGAGCUCGUAGGCGGUUUGUCGCGUCUGCCGUGAAAGUCCGGGGCUCAACUCCGGAUCUGCGGUGGGUACGGGCAGACUAGAGUGAUGUAGGGGAGACUGGAAUUCCUGGUGUAGCGGUGGAAUGCGCAGAUAUCAGGAGGAACACCGAUGGCGAAGGCAGUUCCCUGGGCCGUAACUGACGCUGAGGAGCGAAAGCGUGGGGAGCGAACAGG